Molecule: ribosomal RNA, 255 nt
Filed under: Salmonella enterica subsp. enterica serovar Derby
Lineage: Bacteria; Pseudomonadati; Pseudomonadota; Gammaproteobacteria; Enterobacterales; Enterobacteriaceae
Description: partial 23S ribosomal RNA
Rfam family: Bacterial large subunit ribosomal RNA
Source: RNAcentral
GGCGAGGGGAAUGAAAAAGAACCUGAAACCGUGUACGUACAAGCAGUGGGAGCACAGGUUUACCUGUGUGACUGCGUACCUUUUGUAUAAUGGGUCAGCGACUUAUAUUCUGUAGCAAGGUUAACCGCAUAGGGGAGCCGGAGGGAAACCGAGUCUUAACCGGGCGUUAAGUUGCAGGGUAUAGACCCGAAACCCGGUGAUCUAGCCAUGGGCAGGUUGAAGGUUGGGUAACACUAACUGGAGGACCGAACCGAC